AUUGAACGCUGGCGGCAGGCUUAACACAUGCAAGUCGAGCGGGGUGAUGGUGCUUGCACUAUCACUUAGCGGCGGACGGGUGAGUAAUGCUUAGGGAUCUGCCUAUUAGUGGGGGACAACAUCUCGAAAGGGAUGCUAAUACCGCAUACGUCCUACGGGAGAAAGCAGGGGAUCACUUGUGACCUUGCGCUAAUAGAUGAGCCUAAGUCGGAUUAGCUAGUUGGUGGGGUAAAGGCCUACCAAGGCGACGAUCUGUAGCGGGUCUGAGAGGAUGAUCCGCCACACUGGGACUGAGACACGGCCCAGACUCCUACGGGAGGCAGCAGUGGGGAAUAUUGGACAAUGGGCGGAAGCCUGAUCCAGCCAUGCCGCGUGUGUGAAGAAGGCCUUUUGGUUGUAAAGCACUUUAAGCGAGGAGGAGGCUACCUGGAUUAAUACUCUAGGAUAGUGGACGUUACUCGCAGAAUAAGCACCGGCUAACUCUGUGCCAGCAGCCGCCGCCG
Molecule: ribosomal RNA, 503 nt
Filed under: uncultured bacterium
Lineage: Bacteria
Description: partial 16S ribosomal RNA
Rfam family: Bacterial small subunit ribosomal RNA
Source: RNAcentral